Molecule: long non-coding RNA, 797 nt
Filed under: Homo sapiens (human)
Lineage: Eukaryota; Metazoa; Chordata; Mammalia; Primates; Hominidae
Source: RNAcentral
AGGUUCUUCAUUAAUUUAGACAACUUAAGGGUAUCCUGAGGAGAUGAGAUCAGGACCUUCAGAUUACGAGACUCACGCCCUGCUGGCUGCGCUAAGAGGGCUCCUGAGGAGAUGAGAUCAAACAUAGGAAGAAAAAUGGAGUCUCCAAGAUGUCCACAUUUGAAUCUCUGGAACCUGUGAAUAUGUUACUUUAUAUGGCAAAAGGAACUUUGCAGGUGUGAGAAAAGUUGAGGACCUUGAGAUGGGGAGAUCAUCCUGGAUUAUUUGAAUAAGCCCAAAUUCAUCAAAUGAAUUCUUAAAAGAACCUUUCCUCUGAGAUGAGAGUCUGAGGGAGAUGUGGCUAUGGAAGAAUGGUCAGAGAGCAAUGCAAAGCUGCUGGCUGUGAAGAUGGAAGAAGGGGCCAUAAGCCAAGAAAUAUGGUUGGUUUCUAGGAGCUGGAAGAGGCAAGAAGACAUAUUCUCCUCUAGACCCUCCAGAAGAAAUGCAGCCUCACUGACACCUUAAUUUUAGCCCUGAAAGACCCAUUUCAGAACUCUGACCUACAGAACUGUAAGAUUGUAAGUUUGUAGUGUUUUAAGCCACUAAAUUUAUGGUAAUUUAUUAUAGCAGUAACAGAAAAUCAAUAUAUGCUUUAUGCAGGUAGUACUAAAUUACAUAUUGCAGGUUUAUGUUUGUUUGAGGACAGCUCUUUCUUUAUUUUUAGAGAUAGCACCUUGCUCUGUCACCAGGCCGGAGUGCAGCAGUGUGUUGAUAGCUCACUGGAACCUCAAAUUCCUGGGCUUAAUCCAUCUUCCCAC